CUUCAACAUGUUCCUCCUACAUUCUUCGGCUCCUCCUAAUCUUCACACCAUAAACCGGGCCCUUCCUCUUUCUGCUGUCCUCCUGGCCUCUGCCUGGGCCCUCCUCCUCCCACCUGUCUGUCCCUCCUGUGUCUUGGCACCACUGCCCACAGAAGAAGACGGGCAUGAUGGACACGGAUGAUUUCCGCGCCUGCCUUAUCUCCAUGGGUUACAACAUGGUAAUGUAAACCCCAUCCUCCACCUGCCAGGCUUUCUCUUGCCCUGGCCUGGAGGCAGCCACCUGACUGGAGAAGCUAAGUCUUAGAAAUGGUGGACGAAGGCUCUUAGGUUAGAACUGCCCUCCUCAGGGGGAGUCUCAUCGCCAUCCUUGGGGAAAGUGGCACCUGAAAAAUAGCCCACCCGUGGCAUCAGGGUGUGGCUGGGAAGCUUGGCCUCCUCCUCAUGGUCUCUGACCAGUUUAUCUUAUGGUACAUACUGUGGAAAAAGGGCUUUUUCACCCCCACAGUGGACACCAGCUAUGGACAGCCAACCCCAAGGCUUAUGGAGUGAUAAUUCUGCUUUGUCCCAUAUGAGAAUGGAAGUUUAUACUUCUGCCCAGAUAACAGCUCCAUCCAGACCACUCUUGGCCCAGGCCUCUCUCUAGUCUUGUUCUGUCCCCUCUGUAUCCGGCUUUCUGAGCAGGAUAGGACCUUAGCUGGACAGAAGGGUGUCCAUUGAACCGAGUACAGAGCCCAUGGGAUGCCCAGCAGGGUUAAAGGCUAGACCAGAAGUAUACUCAGUAAAUCACAUUGCCAUCCAGGUCUUGUGGUCUCAGAUGAAGUGAGGAAGCCUCAUGAAGUGGUUGUAAGAGUUAAAUAAAGUGAUUUCGAGUACUGUGCACACGUCUGGCACAGUGUUAGGGAAACAGCAAAUGUUGGAGCCAAACUGCCUGAGCCUUAAUCCCAGCUCCCUACCUACUGGCUGUGUGACCUUGGGCAAGUCACUUAGCCUGUGUGGGCCUCAGAUUUCCCAUGCAAUGGAACACUAUGAUUGUAUUCAGUUGCGAUGACAAGAUGAAUUUAGAAUAGUAGAUGGCAUAUAAUACAUGUUGUGUGGGUGUUAGCCAUUGUUCAUUUUAUUGUCAUUAUAAUUAAUACUGCCAUCAUUUCCUAUAAAGGAAACCAAGGGCACUGCAGGGGGUUGGGGGGUUGGAAAUCCUGAAAAUCCCAACUAUUGAGUCACGUUCAUACCCUGGGGCAACCCAAGCCAGAUCAGAGGUCUGUUGUGCCCUCCUGUUCCAACCAUAGGCUACUUAGGGCUGGACGUACACCUGAGACACCCAGUAGGCCACUAGGGUGACAGGUGUGUGUUGGCUGUUUCCUCUAGGGAGAGGCAGAAUUUGCCCGGAUCAUGAGCAUUGUAGACCCAAACCGCUUGGGGGUAGUGACGUUCCAGGCCUUCAUCGACUUCAUGUCCCGAGAGACGGCUGACACAGAUACAGCGGAUCAGGUCAUGGCUUCCUUCAAGAUCCUGGCUGGAGAUAAGAAUUACAUCACCGGGGAUGAGCUGCGCCGCGAGCUGCCACCUGACCAAGCCGAGUACUGCAUCGCGAGAAUGGCCCCCUACGCGGGCCCUGACUCCGUGCCGGGUGCUCUA
RNAcentral lists this long non-coding RNA (1635 nucleotides) under Rattus norvegicus (Norway rat). RNAcentral describes it as "long non-coding RNA NONRATT025189". Lineage: Eukaryota; Metazoa; Chordata; Mammalia; Rodentia; Muridae. The record is from RNAcentral.